GAAAGUGAAAGGGGGGCGUCCCGGGGCUUCCUUCGCGGGAGCCCCGGUCGGCGCCCUCCGGGGCCGAUCCUCGACAGACCGUCGCCGCCGGUGUCUCUUCCCACACCAAAGCGGGGCCAAGACGGGAGCGGCGCGGGGUGAGACCCUUUCCCCCGUCGUCCGACUCCCGGCCCCGUGGGUACCCGGCGAGCGCGGCAGUCCGGUGGUCCCUCUCCUCUCGGGGGGAGGAGGCCACCGCCUGUACGCAGGGGGGCGCAGGCCCGGGACUUGCCAUUAGACGCCGUCGCGCAAAUCUGUUGUUGGCCUCGCCGGCUCUGCUUGGGCUCUCGGUUGGCGGGCCGCGCGUCAGGCGGGCUUUA
Molecule: ribosomal RNA, 359 nt
Filed under: Potamon ibericum
Lineage: Eukaryota; Metazoa; Arthropoda; Malacostraca; Decapoda; Potamidae
Description: eukaryotic LSU rRNA
Source: RNAcentral